AGCAGAGCCACGGGAAUACGUAGGGUGCAAGCGUUAAUCGGAAUUACUGGGCGUAAAGCGUGCGCAGGCGGUUAUAUAAGACAGAUGUGAAAUCCCCGGGCUCAACCUGGGAACUGCAUUUGUGACUGUAUAGCUAGAGUACGGCAGAGGGGGAUGGAAUUCCGCGUGUAGCAGUGAAAUGCGUAGAUAUGCGGAGGAACACCGAUGGCGAAGGCAAUCCCCUGGGCCUGUACUGACGCUCAUGCACGAAAGCGUGGGGAGCAAACAGGAUUAGAUACCCCAGUAGUCCCUGUCUCUUAUACA
This 303-nucleotide ribosomal RNA is filed under the name uncultured bacterium. RNAcentral describes it as "partial 16S ribosomal RNA". It matches the Rfam family "Bacterial small subunit ribosomal RNA", at positions 507 to 808 of the family's 1533-position model. The record is from RNAcentral.